RNAcentral lists this ribosomal RNA (520 nucleotides) under uncultured bacterium. RNAcentral describes it as "bacterial SSU rRNA". It matches the Rfam family "Bacterial small subunit ribosomal RNA", at positions 53 to 612 of the family's 1533-position model. The record is from RNAcentral. RNAcentral also lists the same sequence under 1 other name.
ACAUGCAAGUCGAACGCUUUAUCAAUGAAGAGUGGCAGACGGGUGAGUAACGCCGUGGUGAACCUUCCCAGUGGUACGGAAUAGCCCAGGGAAACUUGGGGUAAUACCGCAUAAGCCCUUACGGGGAAAGAUUUAUCGCCAUUGGAUGGGCCCGCGUCGGAUUAACUUGUUGGUGAGGUAAAAGCUCACCAAGGCGACGAUCCGUAUCUGGUCUGAGAGGAUGAUCAGCCACACUGGGACUGAGACACGGCCCAGACUCCUACGGGAGGCAGCAGCGGGGAAUAUUGGACAAUGGGCGCACGCCUGAUCCACCCAUGCCGCGUGAGUGACCAAGGCCUUACGGUUGUAAAGCUCUUUUGGCGGGGACGAUAAUGACGGUACCCGCAGAAUAAGCUCCGGCUAACUUCGUGCCAGCAGCCGUGGUAAUACCGAAGGGAGCCAGCGUCUGUUCCGGAAUCACCGGGCGUAAAGCGCACCGUACGCUGAUUUGACACUCACGGGUGAAAAUCCCGGGCCUAAA